GCCGGUUAUAGGACCAAGGUCCAAGUAUGCGGCAGCGGCAUAUGUGUAGGAUGGAUUUUGUUCGGUCAGGCGGGCGGCCGUGAAGCGGCGAGAGAAGGAUGCGGUGGUCGAAAGGGAGGCGUCCAGUUAGCGUUGACACGAUCCAGGCAACAAGGUAAGCAUAUAAGAACCAUACGAUUCACCAUUAUCAAUAUCUUGUCCAAGAUUCAUGCUUCAUGCGGGACGCGGAGGGAGUGGAGGAAGAGGUCAGAGGAGGUAGUCUGUUCGGCACGAAAAUCUCAGGAAGUGCGGGCAAGGAGAAUGGUCCCUGUGUGCAACACAGUGCUGUUUGUGUAUGCACAUAACAAGAAUGAAAUUAAGGGGAGCAGCUCUGGUGCGACGGGGAAGUUGGCAGCACAUACGCAUUUCAUUGAGCACAUCUUGAGCGUUUUAGAUUUCUUGAAUGUUUUAUAUUGUGAUCAGACCAAUAAGGUAUUCAACUGGCAUACAGUUUUCUCAUUUGGGCUUAAGUGA
This 513-nucleotide long non-coding RNA is filed under the name Oryza sativa Indica Group (long-grained rice). RNAcentral describes it as "lncRNA OsMH63_05G010770". The record is from RNAcentral. Lineage: Eukaryota; Viridiplantae; Streptophyta; Magnoliopsida; Poales; Poaceae.